AGCGUACACGGUGGAUGCCCUGGCAGUCAGAGGCGAUGAAGGACGUGCUAAUCUGCGAUAAGCGUCGGUAAGGUGAUAUGAACCGUUAUAACCGGCGAUUUCCGAAUGGGGAAACCCAGUGUGUUUCGACACACUAUCAUUAACUGAAUCCAUAGGUUAAUGAGGCGAACCGGGGGAACUGAAACAUCUAAGUACCCCGAGGAAAAGAAAUCAACCGAGAUUCCCCCAGUAGCGGCGAGCGAACGGGGAGCAGCCCAGAGCCUGAAUCAGUGUGUGUGUUAGUGGAAGCGUCUGGAAAGGCGUGCGAUACAGGGUGACAGCCCCGUACACAAAAAUGCACAUGCUGUGAGCUCGAUGAGUAGGGCGGGACACGUGGUAUCCUGUCUGAAUAUGGGGGGACCAUCCUCCAAGGCUAAAUACUCCUGACUGACCGAUAGUGAACCAGUACCGUGAGGGAAAGGCGAAAAGAACCCCGGCGAGGGGAGUGAAAAAGAACCUGAAACCGUGUACGUACAAGCAGUGGGAGCACGCUUAGGCGUGUGACUGCGUACCUUUUGUAUAAUGGGUCAGCGACUUAUAUUCUGUAGCAAGGUUAACCGAAUAGGGGAGCCGAAGGGAAACCGAGUCUUAACUGGGCGUUAAGUUGCAGGGUAUAGACCCGAAACCCGGUGAUCUAGCCAUGGGCAGGUUGAAGGUUGGGUAACACUAACUGGAGGACCGAACCGACUAAUGUUGAAAAAUUAGCGGAUGACUUGUGGCUGGGGGUGAAAGGCCAAUCAAACCGGGAGAUAGCUGGUUCUCCCCGAAAGCUAUUUAGGUAGCGCCUCGUGAAUUCAUCUCCGGGGGUAGAGCACUGUUUCGGCAAGGGGGUCAUCCCGACUUACCAACCCGAUGCAAACUGCGAAUACCGGAGAAUGUUAUCACGGGAGACACACGGCGGGUGCUAACGUCCGUCGUGAAGAGGGAAACAACCCAGACCGCCAGCUAAGGUCCCAAAGUCAUGGUUAAGUGGGAAACGAUGUGGGAAGGCCCAGACAGCCAGGAUGUUGGCUUAGAAGCAGCCAUCAUUUAAAGAAAGCGUAAUAGCUCACUGGUCGAGUCGGCCUGCGCGGAAGAUGUAACGGGGCUAAACCAUGCACCGAAGCUGCGGCAGCGACGCUGAUGCGUUGUUGGGUAGGGGAGCGUUCUGUAAGCCUGCGAAGGUGUGCUGUGAGGCAUGCUGGAGGUAUCAGAAGUGCGAAUGCUGACAUAAGUAACGAUAAAGCGGGUGAAAAGCCCGCUCGCCGGAAGACCAAGGGUUCCUGUCCAACGUUAAUCGGGGCAGGGUGAGUCGACCCCUAAGGCGAGGCCGAAAGGCGUAGUCGAUGGGAAACAGGUUAAUAUUCCUGUACUUGGUGUUACUGCGAAGGGGGGACGGAGAAGGCUAUGUUGGCCGGGCGACGGUUGUCCCGGUUUAAGCGUGUAGGCUGGUUUUCCAGGCAAAUCCGGAAAAUCAAGGCUGAGGCGUGAUGACGAGGCACUACGGUGCUGAAGCAACAAAUGCCCUGCUUCCAGGAAAAGCCUCUAAGCAUCAGGUAACAUCAAAUCGUACCCCAAACCGACACAGGUGGUCAGGUAGAGAAUACCAAGGCGCUUGAGAGAACUCGGGUGAAGGAACUAGGCAAAAUGGUGCCGUAACUUCGGGAGAAGGCACGCUGAUAUGUAGGUGAAGCGACUUGCUCGUGGAGCUGAAAUCAGUCGAAGAUACCAGCUGGCUGCAACUGUUUAUUAAAAACACAGCACUGUGCAAACACGAAAGUGGACGUAUACGGUGUGACGCCUGCCCGGUGCCGGAAGGUUAAUUGAUGGGGUCAGCGCAAGCGAAGCUCUUGAUCGAAGCCCCGGUAAACGGCGGCCGUAACUAUAACGGUCCUAAGGUAGCGAAAUUCCUUGUCGGGUAAGUUCCGACCUGCACGAAUGGCGUAAUGAUGGCCAGGCUGUCUCCACCCGAGACUCAGUGAAAUUGAACUCGCUGUGAAGAUGCAGUGUACCCGCGGCAAGACGGAAAGACCCCGUGAACCUUUACUAUAGCUUGACACUGAACAUUGAGCCUUGAUGUGUAGGAUAGGUGGGAGGCUUUGAAGUGUGGACGCCAGUCUGCAUGGAGCCGACCUUGAAAUACCACCCUUUAAUGUUUGAUGUUCUAACGUUGACCCGUAAUCCGGGUUGCGGACAGUGUCUGGUGGGUAGUUUGACUGGGGCGGUCUCCUCCUAAAGAGUAACGGAGGAGCACGAAGGUUGGCUAAUCCUGGUCGGACAUCAGGAGGUUAGUGCAAUGGCAUAAGCCAGCUUGACUGCGAGCGUGACGGCGCGAGCAGGUGCGAAAGCAGGUCAUAGUGAUCCGGUGGUUCUGAAUGGAAGGGCCAUCGCUCAACGGAUAAAAGGUACUCCGGGGAUAACAGGCUGAUACCGCCCAAGAGUUCAUAUCGACGGCGGUGUUUGGCACCUCGAUGUCGGCUCAUCACAUCCUGGGGCUGAAGUAGGUCCCAAGGGUAUGGCUGUUCGCCAUUUAAAGUGGUACGCGAGCUGGGUUUAGAACGUCGUGAGACAGUUCGGUCCCUAUCUGCCGUGGGCGCUGGAGAACUGAGGGGGGCUGCUCCUAGUACGAGAGGACCGGAGUGGACGCAUCACUGGUGUUCGGGUUGUCAUGCCAAUGGCACUGCCCGGUAGCUAAAUGCGGAAGAGAUAAGUGCUGAAAGCAUCUAAGCACGAAACUUGCCCCGAGAUGAGUUCU
Molecule: ribosomal RNA, 2773 nt
Filed under: Escherichia coli
Lineage: Bacteria; Pseudomonadati; Pseudomonadota; Gammaproteobacteria; Enterobacterales; Enterobacteriaceae
Description: bacterial LSU rRNA
Rfam family: Bacterial large subunit ribosomal RNA
Source: RNAcentral